RNAcentral lists this ribosomal RNA (301 nucleotides) under uncultured bacterium. Its description in RNAcentral is "partial 16S ribosomal RNA". It matches the Rfam family "Bacterial small subunit ribosomal RNA", at positions 509 to 807 of the family's 1533-position model. The record is from RNAcentral.
CAGUAGCCACGGGAAUACGAAGGGUGCAAGCGUUACUCGGAAUUACUGGGCGUAAAGCGUGCGUAGGUGGUGGUUUAAGUCCGUUGUGAAAGCCCUGGGCUCAACCUGGGAAUUGCAGUGGAUACUGGGUCACUAGAGUGUGGUAGAGGAUAGUGGAAUUUCCGGUGUAGCAGUGAAAUGCGUAGAGAUCGGAAGGAACAUCUGUGGCGAAGGCGACUAUCUGGGCCAACACUGACACUGAGGCACGAAAGCGUGGGGAGCAAACAGGAUUAGAUACCCGCGUAGUCCCUGUCUCUUAUAC